This 1684-nucleotide long non-coding RNA is filed under the name Anser cygnoides (Swan goose). RNAcentral's name for it is "lncRNA (ENSACDG00005005099.1)". Lineage: Eukaryota; Metazoa; Chordata; Aves; Anseriformes; Anatidae. The record is from RNAcentral.
UCCAAAGGCCAGAAAGCGCUUUAAACUCCCAGAUUUGAGCCAAACUGCCUUUCUGAGCAGCGUUUCUGAGGCUGGAGAGCCUCACAAACUUCCAGCAAAGUAGCUGCGGCUCCCUGAAGUGAUAAAUAAAACUAGUCAGGUACUUUUUCUUCCAGAGAGCCAUACAAAUUGGUCCAUGUUGACAGAUGUUUGUCACUUAGUAACUUCUUUCCAAGUUUUUUUUUUUUUUUCCUCCCUCUCCCCUCCUCUAAGCCUUCUUCCGAGCUUGCUUUGUUGUUUUAAAAUAUGCAUGUCUCUCAGGAAUGCAAGUCACGAGUCCAAACUUCGUGUCCAACCUCCCACAAGAAAUGAUCCUUUUAUAGGGAACCCGAUAUGUCUCAAUCUGCACUUCACUCAAAGCCGCUGGAUAUAGGGCACUGGUCCCUGCUCAAAAAUAACACCGCCGAAACGCCUUUCCACCUAAAAAAUCCCCACGAAUGACUGCCAGGGAAGAAAUACAGCUCCCGUAAUUAAGGAAGGCAGCGGUCAGAGGGGAAUGCAGCCCGGAGGAAAAAAAAAAAAAAAGGAGAGAAAAAAAAAGAAAGAAAGAAAAAGGGCAGAGGAGGGAGAGGGAGUUUUUAUUCCUGUGCCCGCUGCACUGGGCCGUCAUUAGCAGCAGGUUUAUCAGGAUGAGCCUCUGAGGCAGCUCCGGGUGCACGGGGAGAAGGCGUCAGCUCAUGACCAGCAGAGAAGACGAGAGAUUAAGGAGCAGAGCCCAACUCCGAGAAAAGACUGGGUUCCCUGUCUCGGAGAACCUUCCACGUCGGAGGAAACCUCGCCGGUGGAGCCCGAGAUUUAAAAACGUCGCCCCCGAGCCCAGCCCCGAUACGGGCGCAGCCCCUGGCCCCUGCCCCGGUCGCGCCGCCGCUUCGGGACCCGCCGGGGGCCGGGGGCAGCCCCGGGGGGGCGCACGGAGACUCCCCCCCCCCGGCCCCGAUCCGCGGGGUGCCCGUCACAGCCGCCCCCGCUGCCUUGCGCCGGGGUUAAGCAGCGUAACCUGCCCGAACAGCUCAAUACUGUUAUUAUCUCUGUGCUAAUUUCAUCAUUUCUGCAUCACGGGGCAGAUGCAGGGCGCGCAGGGCGCUGCCCCAGCGGGAAGCGGGGCUGCGAAAGGGCGGCUCCCCAUUGCAGGGUGCCACGGAGAGGAAAUGGGGUGCACCUGCUGGACACGGCACCUCGGGCGUUGUGGUCCCACCGCAUCUCAAUAUGCUUCCCCACAUACUGACGGGGAUGGAGAGAGGGAGAUAAAUGGGGGGUAGGGAGAUAAAAAGUGAAAAACAAAGAGAGAGAGAAAGGAAAAGGGAAAGAGAGAGAAGGUAAAGGGAUAGAAAGAAAAGAAAAGGAAAAAGAUUAAUGACGAGAAAGAAAGAGAGAGAGAAAGAGAGAGGGAGAGAGAGAGAGAGAGAAAGAAAGUGAGAAAGUGAGAAAGAGAAAGAGAGAGAGAGAAAGAAAGAAAGAAAGAAAGAAAGAAAGAGAGAGAGGAAGGAAGGAAGGAAGGAAGGAAGGAAGGAAGGAAGGAAGGAAGGAAGGAAGGAAGAAAGAAAGAAAGAAAGAAAGAAAGAGGAAGGAAGAAAGAAAGAGGAAGGAAGGAAGGAAGGAAGGAAGGAAGGAAGGAAGGAAGGAAGGAAGGAAGGAAGGAAGGAAG